RNAcentral lists this ribosomal RNA (573 nucleotides) under Gryllotalpicola sp. R3. RNAcentral describes it as "bacterial SSU rRNA". It matches the Rfam family "Bacterial small subunit ribosomal RNA", at positions 335 to 916 of the family's 1533-position model. Lineage: Bacteria; Bacillati; Actinomycetota; Actinomycetes; Micrococcales; Microbacteriaceae. The record is from RNAcentral.
ACUCCUACGGGAGGCAGCAGUGGGGAAUAUUGCACAAUGGGCGCAAGCCUGAUGCAGCAACGCCGCGUGGGGGAUGACGGCCUUCGGGUUGUAAACCUUUUUUGGUAGGGAAGAAGCCUUCGGGUGACGGUACCUGCAGAAAAAGGACCGGCUAACUACGUGCCAGCAGCCGCGGUAAUACGUAGGGUCCGAGCGUUGUCCGGAAUUAUUGGGCGUAAAGAGCUCGUAGGCGGUUCGUCGCGUCUGCCGUGAAAUCCUCAGGCUCAACCUGAGGCGUGCGGUGGGUACGGGCGGGCUAGAGUGCGGUAGGGGAGAAUGGAACUCCUGGUGUAGCGGUGGAAUGCGCAGAUAUCAGGAAGAACACCGAUGGCGAAGGCAGUUCUCUGGGCCGUAACUGACGCUGAGGAGCGAAAGCGUGGGGAGCGAACAGGAUUAGAUACCCUGGUAGUCCACGCCGUAAACGUUGGGCGCUAGAUGUGGGGACCAUUCCACGGUUUCCGUGUCGUAGCUAACGCAUUAAGCGCCCCGCCUGGGGAGUACGGCCGCAAGGCUAAAACUCAAAGGAAUUGACGG